AACCUUUACACUGCACGACAGUGCGAUAGGGGGACACCGAGUGCGAGGGCAUAGAGCCCUCGCUUUUGUAGACCGUAAGGAGGUCUACGAAUAAGGGCUGGGCAAGACCGGUGCCAGCCGCCGCGGUAACACCGGCAGCCCAAGUGAUGGCCGAUAUUAUUGGGCCUAAAGCGUCCGUAGCUGGCCACACAAGUCCGUCGGGAAAUCCACUCGCUUAACGAGUGGGCGUCCGGCGGAAACUGUGCGGCUUGGGACCGGAAGAUCCGAGGGGUACGUCUGGGGUAGGAGUGAAAUCCCGUAAUCCUGGACGGACCACCGAUGGCGAAAGCACCUCGGAAGGACGGAUCCGACAGUGAGGGACGAAAGCUAGGGUCUCGAACCGGAUUAGAUACCCGGGUAGUCCUAGCCGUAAACGAUGCUCGCUAGGUGUGGCGCAGGCUACGAGCCUGCGCUGUGCCGUAGGGAAGCCGUGAAGCGAGCCGCCUGGGAAGUACGUCUGCAAGGAUGAAACUUAA
Molecule: ribosomal RNA, 515 nt
Filed under: uncultured archaeon
Lineage: Archaea
Description: bacterial SSU rRNA
Rfam family: Archaeal small subunit ribosomal RNA
Source: RNAcentral